UGGAACCUGAAUUAUGCAACGAUUUUAGUUCUUUGUUGAGAACAAUAAGGAUUUCAGUGAUCAUGUGUAUGAUGAUUAUAUACAGUACCGGUGGUGGAACUCUGAGUAAGGGGUGUCAGCUGGAAGGCCUGACAGAUGUGUCUCUGCCUUCCUGAGUGCACCUUGGAGGGUACCGAGACUGCGAAUCCUGUCGUUCAACAUCAUGGUCUGAAGAAAGAAAGAAAAUAUUACAUGCUCGUCAUGAUUAAGCAGCAGGCUGACUAUGCUCAUAUGCUGCCUUUAGAUAUAUCUAAGAGAUCGCCAUGCCAUUAACAAAUGAUGUAAGCCUGUCAGUUUUCAACAA
Long non-coding RNA from Triticum aestivum (bread wheat), 343 nucleotides. RefSeq lists it as uncharacterized. The transcript has 2 exons. The record is from RefSeq and is a predicted model, not a curated record. NCBI's taxonomy places the organism in Eukaryota, Viridiplantae, Streptophyta, Magnoliopsida, Poales, Poaceae.